RNAcentral lists this ribosomal RNA (200 nucleotides) under uncultured eukaryote. RNAcentral describes it as "partial 18S ribosomal RNA". It matches the Rfam family "Eukaryotic small subunit ribosomal RNA", at positions 588 to 846 of the family's 1831-position model. The record is from RNAcentral.
GCUCCAAUAGCGUAUAUUAAAGUUGUUGCGGUUAAAAAGCUCGUAGUUGGAUUUCUGCCGAGGACGCGUUCCUUCCUUCGUUGGUCGGGACGCGGAGUCGGCGCAGUUACUUUGAAAAAAUUAGAGUGUUCAAAGCAAGCUUCACGCUGUGAAUACUAUAGCAUGGAAUAACGCGAUAGGACUCCGUGCCUAUUGUGUGG